GCAGGGAAGAGCAAAUGGUAGGCUCGUCAGGCUCAUAAUCUGGAGGUUGUAGGUUCGAUUCCUAUCCCUGCU
This 72-nucleotide transfer RNA is filed under the name Sphingobacteriaceae bacterium. RNAcentral's name for it is "tRNA-Met". It matches the Rfam family "tRNA". From Rfam's summary of the family: Transfer RNA (tRNA) molecules are approximately 80 nucleotides in length. Their secondary structure includes four short double-helical elements and three loops (D, anti-codon, and T loops). The record is from RNAcentral. Lineage: Bacteria; Pseudomonadati; Bacteroidota; Sphingobacteriia; Sphingobacteriales; Sphingobacteriaceae.